RNAcentral lists this ribosomal RNA (492 nucleotides) under uncultured bacterium. Its description in RNAcentral is "partial 16S ribosomal RNA". It matches the Rfam family "Bacterial small subunit ribosomal RNA", at positions 28 to 507 of the family's 1533-position model. The record is from RNAcentral.
GAUGAACGCUGGCGGCGUGCUUAACACAUGCAAGUGGAGCGACGAACCAGGGCUUGCCCUGGGGCAGAGCCGCGAACGGGUGAGUAACACGUGGGUAACGUGCCCCGAUGACUGGGACAACCCGGGGAAACCCGGGCUAAUACCGGAUGUGCCCCCUCACAUCAGUGAGGUGUGUAAAGGAAGCUUCGGCCUCCGCAUCGGGAUCGGCCCGCGGCCCAUUAGCUUGUUGGUGAGGUAACGGCUCACCAAGGCUGCGAUGGGUAGCUGGUCUGAGAGGACGAUCAGCCACACUGGGACUGAGACACGGCCCAGACUCCUACGGGAGGCAGCAGUGGGGAAUCUUGCGCAAUGCGCGAAAGCGUGACGCAGCAACGCCGCGUGGGUGAAGACGGCCUUCGGGUUGUAAACCCCUUUCAGUUGGGACGAAGGUCGGGCGGUUAACAGCCGUUCCGGCUGACGGUACCUUCACAAGAAGCCCCGGCUAACUACGUG